Molecule: ribosomal RNA, 343 nt
Filed under: uncultured bacterium
Lineage: Bacteria
Description: bacterial SSU rRNA
Rfam family: Bacterial small subunit ribosomal RNA
Source: RNAcentral
ACACGUGAUUCAGAGUUUGAUCCUGGCUCAGAGUGAACGCUGGCGGUAGGCCUAACACAUGCAAGUCGAACGGCAGCACAGUAAGAGCUUGCUCUUAUGGGUGGCGAGUGGCGGACGGGUGAGGAAUACAUCGGAAUCUACCUUUUCGUGGGGGAUAACGUAGGGAAACUUACGCUAAUACCGCAUACGACCUUCGGGUGAAAGCAGGGGACCUUCGGGCCUUGCGCGGAUAGAUGAGCCGAUGUCGGAUUAGCUAGUUGGUGAGAUAACUGCCCACCAAGGCGACGAUCAGUAGCCGACCUGAGAGGGUGAUCGGCCACAUUGGAACUGAGACACGGUCCAA